UCACCGGCGGACGGGUGCGUAACACGUGGGAAUAUACCUUUUGGUUCGGAACAACGCAGGGAAACUUGCGCUAAUACCGAAUGUGCCCUUACGGGGAAAGAUUUAUCGCCAAAGGAUUAGCCCGCGUCCGAUUAGCUAGUUGGUGAGGUAAUGGCUCACCAAGGCUCCGAUCGGUAGCUGUUCUGAGAGGAAGAUCAGCCACACUGGGACUGAGACACGGCCCAGACUCCUACGGGAGGCAGCAGUUGGGAAUCUUGGACAAUGGGGGAAACCCUGAUCCAGCCAUGCCGCGUGAGUGAUGAAGGCCUUCGGGUUGUAAAACUCUUUCGACGGGGAACAUAAUGACGGUACCCGUAGAAAAAGCUCCGGCUAACUUCGUGCCAGCAGCCGCGGUAAUACGAAGGGGGCUAGCGUUGUUCGGAAUUACUGGGCGUAAAGCGCGCGCAGGCGGUCUUCCAAGUCAGUGGUGAAAGCCCGGAGCUCAACUCCGGAACUGCCAUUGAAACUGUAAGACUUGAGGACGAAAGAGGU
Molecule: ribosomal RNA, 531 nt
Filed under: uncultured bacterium
Lineage: Bacteria
Description: bacterial SSU rRNA
Rfam family: Bacterial small subunit ribosomal RNA
Source: RNAcentral